Molecule: long non-coding RNA, 8742 nt
Filed under: Setaria italica (foxtail millet)
Lineage: Eukaryota; Viridiplantae; Streptophyta; Magnoliopsida; Poales; Poaceae
Description: long non-coding RNA (SITA_LNC003486)
Source: RNAcentral
CGCGACCAACCGCCGUGCGGGCCGCCGGCAUUCCAGCUCAAGUGCAACAGCAGCGGCGCGUUCAUGGUCAAAUCCCUCUACCAGGCGUAUCGGGUGGUCAGCAUCUUCGCCGAGAACCAAUCCUUACAUGUGGUGGACAUCAACCUCCCGCUCGACACCGGCUGCCCAGCGCCAACGUUCAACGUCUCGCUCGUCCCCCGGCCGCUCGCCUUCAGCAAAGCCAACAAAGAGCUGCUCUUCCUCGGCAAGUGCACGGCGGGGUCUCAACCGGAGGAUUCGAAUGGGUUUCACAGCCUACCUUGCGACAGGUCUUCCUUCGUCCGGCUCGGCGACGGGCAGCUGUGGUUUGCUAGGUUUCCAGGUCGUUUGCGAGAACCACACACCAUACCUCCGGUACAAGGGGUGGAGGUAUUCCUGGGAAUACCCAAGAUUUUUCAGAAAAAAAUAGUAUAUAUGUCCUAUAUACAUGUGUAUACUUAUUAAUUAGAAGGUGCUCAGCAAUUCUUAGUAUAAAACGAGCCCAAUACAUGCAGCUUGGGCCAACUAGGAUCAUCUAUGCUAACUGCUAUGCUAAGGUCUAGUUCAUUUUUCACCCAAUGCUGGCCGGCUACCAACUGCCAUAAGCACAGCACAACAGAUUCUUUCAAUAUGGAUGGCAUUGCAUCCCGCUCAAGCUCUCACCUCUCCCUCUCUUAUUUCUCCUAAAUCCAUUCUCCUUUCUCAAAUUCCUAAUCCCUGACUACUAUUUCCCAACUUCACGCAUCAUGAGACGGAGUUGUAGCGGAUGAGUGAUGAGGCUGAGCGCGCUCGCACGCAGUGGCCCCCAACAACAUCACGACGACGGAUCAAAUAUGGGUGCACCUCCGGCAAGCUGUGCAAGCGUAUUAGUGAGAAGUGAAACUAAGGUUCCACGCCCUUGUUCCAUGCUGACCCCUCUGAUCUUAGCCUACUAAUUAAUCAGCCCUGCAUAUUGAUCCGUACAUUGUAAGAUGGAUGUUCGAUUGCUAAAUCUAGUCAUGUUCUAGCGAUACAUGAUGAUUUGGUUGUGAUGAAGUUGGGAAAAAGUUUACCAAGCCCAUGUGGCCUGUGGGGAUCUACUUUAAGCGCAACUUCGAACAUAUUUGCCUAUGAGCGUGGCUUGAAUGGUACAACUUUUUUUAGCUGAGAACACCUAACUCUCAUAUUCUGACUCCACCACUGUCAGGUACUACCUCCAGAACUUUAUACAGCUCCAGAUCCUAGAGAUCAUCUACGGCAACGGCUCUUUGCUUCUCGCGGAUAUGCACAAGCUUGUGGACCUGACAAACUUAGCCACUUAGUCAGCCAAUACAAAUUCUCCCUACAGUUAACACCUCAUCGAAGAUCGCUCACCCGUUCUCGAUCAGCCCCACAAAUCAGCAACUCAUCCUCUACGACUGCACCAAGCUGUCGAAGCCGGCAACGGCAGCGGCUGAUGGGCUUGUGGAGAGGACAUGCGGGAACAGCACGCUUUUAUGCACAGACAAGCAUAUUCCAUGCCUAAAUUAGCGUAGCCGCUCACCUCUACCUCGCUCUUAUGCACAAUGAAAAGACCAGCUAAUGCAAUGCAAAGAUCAGUCCACAAGCCCUCUAGAUCCAACCUUUUUAUAUGGAUCGGCCACCCUACAUUUCCUUUUUUUAACUCCACACGUGUUUCAAGAUUAAAACUCAUAUCUUUUUAAUCGAUAAUUAGCCCAAUAAAUUGUAGAUUAUACCAAAUAAUUUUAUUAUCUUUACAUUUAUAUUCAAAAGCACUUCCAUACAUCUGAUCUCAAUUUCACGGUCAUAAAAAUAUAAGAUAAGAUAUUCUGAUAGUCAGGGUGUAGCCUUAAGGCCGGAUUGGGUCAAACUGCAGCCUGCGCCAAAUAUGCUGUUCGUGAUAUUCACUAUAUACCAAUGCAUCUCCUUUGUCAAUUGUCGCUAUGAAAGUCUGACUUUAAUAAAAAGAGAGUGCAGUUAUACACACAAGAAUGGCAUAUGGCAGACGUCAACCCAGAGGUGUAGCAUUUUAUUCAAAUUUCAUUUCCAACUUUUUGAACCGUCAAAUAUUAACUCAUUCUUUCCUUCUACCAAAAGAAUCGACCUUUUAAUGUAACAGUAGGAGAGGUCCCUACUGGAUUUUCUUGUAUUUAUAUAUGUGUAAAAAGGGGAUAAGCACAAGCUUACAAGGUCAUAGGCCCAAAGAGACCCUAAUAAGAAGUUGGUAAUGAAAAUUACGUAGCCAAGUUUCUAGUAAAGUUGCAAGGAGGGCUUAGCUUUAUACAAGGUGAGACUCACUUCCUUCUUGAAACAAAAUUUCCAUCUUGCUAGAGAUAGGACGCCUGCAUAAAAAAUGAUAGAAUUCCAAUGGCACCAUAUACUUCAACAAGCCACAAUCAGGAUUUCCCUAAAAAUCUUUUAAGCAAAGUCCCUCCUAAUAUUCUAUAUGCUAUUUCAGGUAGUAGAAAUGGAACUGGAAGGAAGAUAAUACUAAUAGGUAUGCUACAUUCAAUAUCAUUUCAUAUUAGUCAUCCAAAUUUCAGUAGUCAGGCAAGUUACAUUUAGUUUUACUCUGUGGAAGAUCAUAGAAGAAUUAUUAUGACAUUUAUCAUAUCUAUUCUCACAUAGAUUUGAAAAAUGAAAAUUCGGAACAUGUGAUCCACAAGUUGUGGCUUCUAAUAUAAAAUUGGGAAAUUUGGAGCAAGAUCUGUGGUCUUUGAUUAUAUGGCUUCUUCAUAUUUUCUUACUUUGCACUUCUUAUUUUAUUUUUUUAUACAAAAAGAGAAAAAUAUGAAUUGUUAACGGUCUUGGAAAUCUUAAUGAUAAUAAUAUAGCAGCUCACUAUUUCAAGAGAAAAGUAACAUCUGCUUUAAUUUCAGUUUUGAUGACAGUAGCUGCAAGCUUGCUCCUACCAUGUAUAUAUGUGCUUGUAUGGCAUAGAAAGAGAGGAAAGCUACAUUUUUUCCUAUGUGAAAAGACUAGCAGAAACACUGAAAGGAACAUUGAGGCCCUACUAGUAUUGCAUGGAUCCCUAGCUCCGAAAAGAUACAAGUACUCAGAAGUAACAAAGAUAACAUCUUCCUUUGAUAAUAAGCUUGGGGAAGGUGGUUAUGGUGCGGUUUUCAAAGGAAGGCUAGAUGAUGGUCGUCUAGUGGCUGUGAAAUUCUUGCACAACUCCAAAGGAGAAGGAGAGGAGUUUGUUAACGAGGUUAUGAGCAUUGGCAGGACCUCUCAUGUUAAUAUUGUUAACUUAUUUGGGUUUUGUUUGGAAGGCUCAAAGCGGGCCCUAAUAUAUGAGUUCAUGCCCAAUGGUUCUUUGGAUAAGUUCAUAUACUCAGAGAAUCCUAAAGCAGUUUUAGGAUGGGAUAAGCUCUAUACAAUAGCGAUUGGAAUUGCUCGAGGAUUGGAAUACUUGCAUCACAAUUGUAAUACACGCAUUAUCCAUUUUGAUAUCAAGCCUCAAAAUAUCCUUCUAGAUGAGGAUUUUCACCCAAAGGUUGCUGAUUUCGGUUUGGCCAAAUUGUGCCAUACCAAGGAGAGCAAGCUUUCUAUGACUGGUGCUAGAGGGACAGUUGGUUUUAUUGCUCCUGAAGUGCACUCUCGAACCUUUGGAGUUGUUUCAACAAAAUCAGAUGUUUAUAGUUAUGGAAUGAUGCUAUUAGAGAUGGUUGGAGGUAGAAAAAAUGUGAAAUCAGUUGCUCAGAAAUCAAGUGAAAAGUAUUUUCCACAUUGGAUUUAUGAUCAUUUUAGACAAGGUGAUGGAUUACAAGCAUGUGAGGUCUCAAGUGAAGAUGAAGGAAUAGCCAAAAAGAUGAGUGUGAUUGGCCUGUGGUGCAUCCAAAUACUACCAAUGCAUCGCCCUACAAUAGCAAAGGUUUUGGAAAUGUUUGAGCGAGGUUUAGAUGAUUUGGACAUGCCACCGAGACAAAACUUCAGCCAAAUUCUGUAAGAUGUUCACGAUACUUAUUUCUGCAACUGCUCACUACUAUUUACUAUAGCAUUGAUGUUUUAGAAACAAUUUUUUUCAUUCUUUUGCAGCGAAGAUCCAUCUUAAAAUUUGAAUGCAGAAAGCACGAGUACAAGAAGUGGUACCAAAACUCAAGUUUUUAGCGAAGUGCUAAAAAUGAAGGAGAUGAGCGUUGUGAAUUCAAAAAGCUUACAUCGGCUACCAACUCUGUGACAAGGUUACCUAGCAUUGGAAUUAUGCACUGAACUUAUGCAUCUAUAUGAGAGAGGGUAGAAAUCUUAAGUUACUCUGAUACUUGUCUCAAAAGAAACAUGCCUACUAUAAUAUUUUGCAUUCAAAGUCAUUAAGGUCCCAAGAAGGAAAGUUUUGCAACUAUGCAUACGAUAUUUUGACAUAAUCCUAACAUUUCUAUAUUUUUGUUAGUUAGACCUUCUCAUUGUUCUUUGUCGACGUACCAGCACACCUUAUAGUCAUCCAUCACCAAAAAUCUCCCAAACGCUAAUGAUACAUUUGUACCAGAAUCAGGUAACUGAAAAGGUAUCCAAGACAUUACACAUACUAGAAAAAAAUCAAGGCAUUACAGUUUUCAAGUCAUGGCCUUAUUAGUAGAGUCGAUCAGCAUAUAGUUGGAUCCUGGAUUAUUGCCAUGUUGAAAUACGAGGAUGAAGGCAUGAAGCUGAUCGUAGCCAUGAGUCACGACACACAUAUAACUGAGGCCUAAAGGGGCAUAAAUUUUGCUUGACUUAUUGAGUUAGGUUCCAAACACCGGUGCAUCAGCUAUGAAGUUUCUUAGUUUAAUCUUCAGGUUCCAAUCAAAAGUUAAGGUUGACAGUUGACACCCACAAGCCGUCCAAGUGAACCCAAAAAAGAAAACUACUCAAUCCAAAUACUCAUGGUCUCAAUGCAAAAUCAGAAUACGUUUUCGAACAAUAGAAGCACCAAUCAAAUUGAUCUACGCAUCUGAUAACUAAAAAUCACAUAUGUGGGUAAAUCGAUCAUAAAUCUUGUGGAAGUACGGAACCAGUCAAAGUGCGUGAUACUUACAUGGUUCUUCGAAUGCCUGCUGCUCCUACUAUUCUCCCAAGGCAACAAGGGUAGGUUAGGCAUACGUACCCAAAGGGUUUACGCCACUGAUGGCGCGAGAUUGGAUUAGUGCUGCAGCCUCUCCGUCUGCCACCCUAAUCACCGGCACGGAGCCAGCGAUGCAGCAAGGGGCAGAGUGGAGAGAUUUUUGGGAGAUUUGCUCAUGCCCUCAUGGGAUGGUACCAGGUACCAGCUGCUAUUGCGCCGUAAGAGAUGGUUGGGGAUGGUGCUGUAACUGCCGUUCACUGCCGCGCGUCUCGACGGCAAGACGAGAACGGCAGCAGCUCGGCAACUCGUUCGUCAGGCGUUGCGGCCUAGAGUGGAUCUCCAUGGACCGAGCCCAUCUAGUGGUGAGGGUCCAUCAUGAAAAGUUGGACCGUGCCAGGUCCACGUAGGCACGCCGUUGCCUCCGAUGACCCAAUACAAUUUGUCAGCGUCUCCAAAAAAAAUACAAUUUAUGUACUCUAAAGAAAGAAUACAAUUUAUCAGAGAAAUUCCACGCAUAUGAUCUGUGGUCUAUGCACAUCCCGACAAACAUCAGUAUUUGGGAAGGUGAUACAGGGGUUUUGUUUUCAGGAAGCUGGAUGCAUAGCCUGGACGUUUUAGGUUGUGUGGUGAAUACAGUGCUAGUCGUCUCCUCUGAUGCUCUCUUGGAAUCGCCGAAUGGCCGACGAUGUUUGUACCGGUCUGGAGUCCUUUCAAUAUCUAACUGUUGCCAGCGGUAUGUAGUUAACUUUCAGGGUUAGUGUUUGGCAUAAAUGAGUGAAGCUUGCUUGGCCGACAAGAGCGUGUAUUACCCGGAGCUGAUCUGGCUCAGGGCGCGCAUCCAGUCACGUCAGUGUCUCAUGACAGUCGUCGCUUUGCCCCAUCCCAUACAGGCACAUCGGACAUUUCCGUGCGCGGAUGACGAUGGUCCCAAUGUGUCCCCUCAAAGCUUUCUGCCACUACAGUCUACACAAGGCUCGCGGACUCACUAGCUUCACCUUAGUAUGGCGCUUGUGCCUAUCUAUCUUGGUCCCAGAACUGAUUCACCACUCUGUUCGUUCUACUACUGCCAUCAUCGAAACCUUCCCAUACGCUCCUCCUCCGUCUUCCUUGCUGCUCUUCCUCGUCUCAUCCUUGCUACAUGGAGCUAGAGACCAUGUAGUACGGACUACGGACCUGGCAACCCAAACCACCAAUUAGCUUAUUUAUUAUCCGCGCCGAUGAUUUGAUAAGGGCGUAAGCCGGUGGUCGUCCCCAACCGUGGCAGGAGUGUUCACCGCCGUUGGAAAUGCAAAAGUCAAUGAGAUGUUAAAAUUUAGGGCGUGCUUGGGAUUGCUCUGCUCCAGUUUUUUCCAGCUCCGCUGCUAAACCAUUUGCCAAACACCUCCAGCUCCAACAAUCCAAUCUCCAGCUCCAACAAUCCAAACUCCAGAAAAAAUGUGGAUCUAGAAGGCAACUCUAAGGUUUUUUCGGAGCACCUCAAAGGGUGCUCCAAAAACGCAGGUUUCAUACAUUAUCUUGGAGUUGGGUGGAAAUUACCCACCAAUGCUACUGGUUACACAUUCCUCUUCGGCAAAAAAAAAGACCGCUACUGUUUCGCCCCCUCCCCUCCCUCCCAACACAUCUUUUUUUGUGCCGCCCCCUUCCCUCCGCCUUGCAAGUUUCUCUGUGCGCCGUCACCGCCUUUUCCCCUCCCUCCGAUGGCAAAAAAACCGGCGAGAUGGACGCCGGUGAUGAUCCACAACACCUCAAUGAUGAAAUUCCAUUGAUUACUCCUUCAUCUGGAUCGAUUUUGACCCAAGCACAUGCCGCCCAAAGAGUCCUCGCCGCCCGUGCUACUAGCUCCGCCGGCUGGAGCUCCUUCCACCCGCUGGCGGCCAUGGGGAUAGCCAUGGCUCGCCCUAGGGCCGCGGCCUUGACACAACAGCCAAUGAGGGGCUCGGCCAUGGCGAGUGGCCUUGGCGACAAUGUGUUGCUGUUGAGCCGUGUGUGCUCCGCGGUCCUGCCGGCGUCGGCCGUCGCAGGCCACUCGCCUAGCAUGGUUCUGGUGGUGCGCCAGCUGUGGAGGUCGACGAUCCUGCACAUGGUCUUGAACUUUUGUGGUGGUGGAGGUGAGCAACCUUGGUUCUCGAUGGAAUCACAGCUUGAAGCUGGACUGGAUGAUAAUCAGUUGGUGAUGAGGAAGACCAUGCCGCAGUGGCCGGACUAGUUAAUCACCGGUGACUCCUUCUGGUUCUUCCCGGCCAUUGAUCUUCCCGCCCAUUGAUUAGAGUGAUUAUCUGUAGGUGGCAAGAUGGGUGUCUCCAAGACUUCUUCCUUUGAUGUUAGGAAGCAGCACAAGCACAAGCCAGGUCAGGUUAGUUGUAGAAUGACUGAGAUUAGCUUGAUCUUGUUAAGCAGUUGUUUGUUCAACACUGGUCUAGCUAGUUGAAACAUGUGCGUUAUGCAAAAAUGAUUGAAACAGUGUAACAUUUGACUUUGUAUCUCGCAAUCUGCGUUCGUUUGUUUAUUCUAAUUUACAUGUGGUUAGUUUCAACCAAGAGCAAAUCAGUUCCAAUUUAACAUUUGGUAAAAUGAUAUAUUCCGCUCUGAUGUCAUUUAAGCUGGCAUAAAAAGUAUAUUAACAUCAGUGAAAAACUCAAGCAAUCAGUCACUAUAGCAGUCGGUACUGCAGCUCACGAAAAAAAAAUCCAAACUUCAACCAAAGGUAAAAGAGACUGUUCACACCCAUUCCUACAAUUUUUGGAGCUGAACCAUUAAUCAAACACAUUCGUAGCUCCUUAUUUUCCUAGAGUUGGUAGAGCAGAUCUAAAAAAAGUGGAGCUGUUCUUUUUUGAAGUAGAGCAGUCCCAAACAUACAUUAAAUAAACAAAUUUAGAGAGACAGAGAGGAACACACAUUAAAUAAACAAAUUUAGAGAGACAAAGGGGAAAAAACAAGGAAUAAUCAAACGCUUGGUGGAGGCGUGGACCACGACCGGUCGCCACCGUCCUUUCUAGUUUCUCCCCUCCUCAUCUCAUAUCCGUCCCCGUCCCGCUAUCCGUUCCGUGCUCGCAUUCCUUAGUUCCGUUCGCUGACCCAACUCCUAAAUCCAAAGCCCAAACCACUCCGCCAUUGGCCACCCCUUAUGCCUCCGCUCCUCCUGCUGCUGCUCGCUUCCUUCCUCCUCCCGCCGCCGGCGGCCAGCGCGGGCACGGCACAGCCGUCAAGCUGCUGGCCGAAGACAUGCGGGGGCCUGAACAUCACCUACCCGUUCUGGCUGGAGGAGCGCGACCGGCCGCCGUGCGGGCCGCCGGCAUUCCAGCUCAAGUGCAACAGCAGCGGCGCGUUCAUGGUCAAAUCCGUCUACCAGGCGUAUCGGGUGGUCAGCAUCUUCGCCGAGAACCAAUCCCUACAUGUGGUGGACAUCAACCUCCCGCUCGACACCGGCUGCCCAGCGCCAACGUUCAACGUCUCGCUCGUCCCCCGGCCGCUCGCCUUCAGCAAAGCCAACAAAGAGCUGCUCUUCCUUAGCAAGUGCACGGCGGGGUCUCAACCGGAGGAUUCGACUGGGUUUCACAGCCUACCUUGCGACAGGUCUGCCUUCGUCCGGCUCGGCGACGGGCGGAAUUUCUCAAGAAGCCACAUCCAGGGCGGCAUCCCGCCGGGCUGCUUCUUCGCUUUCGUGCCGAUUCUUGAGGUUCCCAACGGGAACGGCGACGAGUACGUCG